RNAcentral lists this ribosomal RNA (568 nucleotides) under Eucryptorrhynchus scrobiculatus. Its description in RNAcentral is "SSU rRNA". It matches the Rfam family "Eukaryotic small subunit ribosomal RNA", at positions 30 to 581 of the family's 1831-position model. The record is from RNAcentral. Lineage: Eukaryota; Metazoa; Arthropoda; Insecta; Coleoptera; Curculionidae.
GCUUGUCUCAAAGAUUAAGCCAUGCAUGUCUCAGUACAAGCCAAAUUAAGGUGAAACCGCGAAAGGCUCAUUAAAUCAGUUAUGGUUCCUUAGAUCGUACCACAAUUACUUGGAUAACUGUGGUAAUUCUAGAGCUAAUACAUGCAAACAGAGCUCCGACCGGAGACGGAAGGAGUGCUUUUAUUAGAUCAAAACCAAUCGGUGGCGGGCUCGUCAUCGUACAACUUGGUGACUCUGAAUAACUUUACGCUGAUCGCACGGUCAUCGCACCGGCGACGCAUCUUUCAAAUGUCUGCCUUAUCAACUGUCGAUGGUAGGUUCUGCGCCUACCAUGGUCGUAACGGGUAACGGGGAAUCAGGGUUCGAUUCCGGAGAGGGAGCCUGAGAAACGGCUACCACAUCCAAGGAAGGCAGCAGGCGCGCAAAUUACCCACUCCCGGCACGGGGAGGUAGUGACGAAAAAUAACGAUACGGGACUCAUCCGAGGCCCCGUAAUCGGAAUGAGUACACUCUAAACCCUUUAACGAGGAUCAAUUGGAGGGCAAGUCUGGUGCCAGCAGCCGCGGUA